GGACUACCAGGGUAUCUAAUCCUGUUUGCUACCCACGCUUUCGUGUUUCAGCGUCAGUUACGGUCCAGAGAGCCGCCUACACCACCGGUGUUCCUCCUGAUAUCUACGCAUUUCACCGCUACACCAGGAAUUCCACUCUCCUCUCCCGCACUCUAGUCCUUCAGUAUUCGGCGCACCCUCCCAGUUGAGCCGGGAGAUUUCACACCAAACUUAGAGAACCACCUACACACCCUUUACGCCCUAUAACUCCGAACAACGCUUGCUGCCUACGUAUUACCGCGGCUGCUGGC
RNAcentral lists this ribosomal RNA (290 nucleotides) under uncultured Acidobacteriota bacterium. RNAcentral describes it as "uncultured Acidobacteria bacterium partial 16S ribosomal RNA". The record is from RNAcentral. Lineage: Bacteria; Pseudomonadati; Acidobacteriota.